CAGGAAGCAGCUCCAGCAGGCCCCAUCCAGCAAGUCUUCAAGCUCCUUAGAAAAGGAAUGGCUGCAGCAUUUCUCAACUGGGAUUCUGUGAAUAAAUGAAACCCUACAGAAAAUGACACCAGUGACUUUUCUCAGUCCUCCCAGGAAUGACACCAUUCUACAGGCAUGGGAAAGAAGUUGAUUCAUUACAAACAGGGGCUGUCCCCGAAUGUUAGGGCUUAAUUCUUUCUGGAAGUCAGUUAAGAAAGGCUGGUGGGGAGUUUAUUUAGGUAUUUAAUGAAUACCUGUUUGAUAUCUGCGGGCAUUGUUCUAAGCCCUACACUGUCCAGUUCGGUAGUCAUGAUCCAACCACAUGUCCAUUGAGCAUUUGCAAUGAGUCUUAUCCAAAUUGUGAUGUACUCUAAGUAUAAAACACACACUGAAUUUCAAAGAUUUAGUAUAAUGAAAUGUAAAAUUUCUCAUUAAUAAUUUUUAUAUUGAAUUUUAUGUUGAAAUGACCAUACUUGGAUAGAUUGGGCUAAAUCAGAGGUUGACAAACUUUCCCUCUGAAAGACUGGAUAGUAAGAAUUUUCAGCUUUGUGGAUCACCUGGUCUCAACUAUGCAACUACUCAACUCUGCCAUUGCAGUGCAAAAUCAGCCAUAGACAAUAUAAAAACAAAUGGGCAUGGCUUGUUCCAAUAAAACUUUAUUUAAAAAAAACAGAUGGUGGGCCAGAUUUCCCCCACAGGCUGUAUAGUUUGCUGAUUUCUG
RNAcentral lists this long non-coding RNA (751 nucleotides) under Homo sapiens (human). RNAcentral's name for it is "non-protein coding lnc-FLNB-1:1". Lineage: Eukaryota; Metazoa; Chordata; Mammalia; Primates; Hominidae. The record is from RNAcentral.